GUUGGAAAGGCAGAUCAUGAGGACCAGGACUCGUUUCGAUAACCCAGUCAAGUACAAGCGACUGUAUCAAGGGAGUGUUCAAGGAUCAAAUGCUGGUUAUUCUGUUAAAGGUCGUCGUUAUAAAAAUUAUGAUGAUGAUGACGAUGAUGAGGAUGAUGAUGAUGAUGCUGGCUACAUCGACGACUACUAUUGAGUGGGAAAUCAAGAAGUGGGCUUCCUGUAUCAUCAGUACUUUUGUGAUGGAGAUAAAACCUGGGUUUACAUUUAAAUCAGGUGGGAACAUUGUUUUGAACAAUUUCUUU
Molecule: long non-coding RNA, 302 nt
Filed under: Linum usitatissimum (flax)
Lineage: Eukaryota; Viridiplantae; Streptophyta; Magnoliopsida; Malpighiales; Linaceae
Description: long non-coding RNA (LUSI_LNC000940)
Source: RNAcentral